This 634-nucleotide ribosomal RNA is filed under the name uncultured Oscillospiraceae bacterium. Its description in RNAcentral is "bacterial SSU rRNA". It matches the Rfam family "Bacterial small subunit ribosomal RNA", at positions 9 to 652 of the family's 1533-position model. Lineage: Bacteria; Bacillati; Bacillota; Clostridia; Eubacteriales; Oscillospiraceae. The record is from RNAcentral.
GAGUUUGAUCAUGGCUCAGGACGAACGCUGGCGGCGCGCCUAACACAUGCAAGUCGAACGGGAACUGUCCGGAGCUUGCUUCGGACGGUUUCAGUGGCGGACGGGUGAGUAACGCGUGAGGAACCUGCCUUUCAGAGGGGGAUAACGUCCGGAAACGGACGCUAAUACCGCAUGACAUCCCGGGAUCACAUGGUUCUGGGAUCAAAGGAGCAAUCCGCUGGAAGAUGGACUCGCGUCCGAUUAGCCGGUUGGUGAGGUAACGGCCCACCAAAGCUGCGAUCGGUAGCCGGACUGAGAGGUUGAACGGCCACAUUGGGACUGAGACACGGCCCAGACUCCUACGGGAGGCAGCAGUGGGGGAUCUUGCACAAUGGAGGGAACUCUGAUGCAGCGACGCCGCGUGAGGGAAGACGGUUUUCGGAUUGUAAACCUCUGUCCCCGGUGACGAUAAUGACGGUAGCCGAGGAGGAAGCUCCGGCUAACUACGUGCCAGCAGCCGCGGUAAUACGUAGGGAGCGAGCGUUGUCCGGAUUUACUGGGUGUAAAGGGUGCGUAGGCGGCUGAACAAGUCAGGUGUGAAAACCAUCGGCUCAACUGAUGGAUUGCACUUGAAACUGUGCAGCUUGAGUGAAGC